UGAACGCUGGCGGCGUGCCUAACACAUGCAAGUCGAGCGAGACGGUUAUGAAAGAUCCUUCGGGUGAUAGAUUAACUAGAAAGCGGCGGACGGGUGAGUAACGCGUGGGUAACCUGCCCCAUACACAGGGAUAGCCAUUGGAAACGAUGAUUAAUACCUGAUAAUACUAAGACAACACAUGUUGUUUUAGUCAAAGAUUUAUCGGUAUGGGAUGGACCCGCGUCUGAUUAGCUAGUUGGUAAGGUAACGGCUUACCAAGGCGACGAUCAGUAGCCGACCUGAGAGGGUGAUCGGCCACACUGGAACUGAGACACGGUCCAGACUCCUACGGGAGGCAGCAGUGGGGAAUAUUGCACAAUGGGCGCAAGCCUGAUGCAGCAACGCCGCGUGAACGAAGAAGGCCUUCGGGUCGUAAAGUUCUUUUCUUAGGGAAGAAAAAUGACGGUACCUAAGGAAUAAGCACCGGCUAAAUAC
RNAcentral lists this ribosomal RNA (474 nucleotides) under uncultured bacterium. RNAcentral's name for it is "bacterial SSU rRNA". It matches the Rfam family "Bacterial small subunit ribosomal RNA", at positions 30 to 504 of the family's 1533-position model. The record is from RNAcentral.